RNAcentral lists this unclassified non-coding RNA (287 nucleotides) under Hevea brasiliensis (rubber tree). Lineage: Eukaryota; Viridiplantae; Streptophyta; Magnoliopsida; Malpighiales; Euphorbiaceae. The record is from RNAcentral.
UGGAAAGAGAGCUGAGAAAAUAAGGAUAUCGAGACAAAGGGAUAGAAGGAAGAGCUUUUAAAUUUAAAAUCUUGUUCAGGUUUUCUGAGUAGGUUAAGAGCAUUUAGAUGAUUAAUAGCUUGUUGUAAUAGCCCUUUUCUAUCCUCUGCUCGAAAAUUUCCCUACCAAUAAUGGGGAAGAAAGAAUCAGAUGGAGGAAAAGGAAAUGAUAAAUAGAAGAAGGUUAGCUAGUUUGGCAUUGAAUUUCACUGUAAAAAAACACUCUAAAAAAAAUCAUUUUAAAUGUUG